Molecule: long non-coding RNA, 3059 nt
Filed under: Eutrema salsugineum
Lineage: Eukaryota; Viridiplantae; Streptophyta; Magnoliopsida; Brassicales; Brassicaceae
Description: long non-coding RNA (ESAL_LNC000849)
Source: RNAcentral
UAACAUUGAAGCCAUCUUUAAACUUCGAUAGUCUCCCAAAUUCACUUCCCAUCACAAGAAUUGUGAGGUUUUAACUUCCCUGCAACUCAAAACAGAUCCGCAAACAAGAAGAAUAAAAGAACACACACAAUUGUUAACCCAGUUCACGGCUAACCGCUACGUCUGGAGAGGGAAACUCUUGUCCCUUAACUUCCACUAGAUCAAGGUUCAAACUACAACACCAACUGACUUGUUCUACUUGUUACAGGUUUUGUGCCAAGAGAGAAAACACAGAACGCCCUAGAACAAGCUAUGUGAAAAGAUACGGCCUAAGGAAGAAGAAACAACUAGGUAUUCUCUAUUCCUUAUAUACGAACUUGAUCUCCACGUUUUUGUGUCUUGGACUUCACAUCUUGGUCCAAUCUCUUCUCCUAUAAUACUUGUGUAGAACUUGUAUCAGGUCCAUCUAAAUAAUCAGACAGCCCAGUUCUAGAUUUGACCCAAAAGGCAACCUGAGAUUCACAUUCUCCACCUUUGACUUUUGGUCAAAAUCCCUUUCACGUAGUUUUCCCCUUUCUCUCUAAUGGAAUCUGAUGCUCAUCGAUUUCUUCCAAUAAGCAUCUCCUUCGGUGUCAGCUCCUUUGCCAACUCCACCUGUGAAGAAAUUCACACCUCUGAUUCUUCUUUUCAGUUCCACCGAAGAAUCAUGCUUCUUCCUCACACCAAUUUCGGACAUCUCAAAUGAGUGUCCUCUUCCAUCAGUUUCAACAGCGAGAUUUAAAAAAAAAAAAAAACCCAGGUAAAUCAAUUUCGGAAUCUUUUCUUUUCUGUGACAUUCCCUUUCUGAUUUCUGCAAUUUCUUUUCUGUAAAACCUCUGAUUCUGUCGCCGAGACCUCCUGAACAAAAUACUGACCCAUUUUGUUCUUCUCUUCUGUUUUGCGAGAAUACCAUGGCUGGCUUCACACAGAAUAAGCUUGAAAAGGUAGUACCUGUCAAUUCUGACUCUAUCCUUUUCCUUAUUCCCUUUGUCGAUUUUUUCUCUUUCCCGAGAACACUAACUCCUUGUGCUCUCUUCUUCCUGCGAGAUGAUCCAUCGACGAAGACCUUCUCGCUUUCCUCUGGACCUUUUCAGGCGAGGACUCUGAGGCUCUCACGCCCUUGUUCAAACCGCUUUCCAGGUAAUCCCUUAGUUAGUAAAUCUGCUGGGUUGACUGAAGUAUGAAUUUUGUGUAGAAAAACAUCUCCAUCUUCGAUGACAUCUCUGAUAAAAUAUAAUCGAUUGUCUAUAUGCUUGGUCCUCUCAUGAAAUCCUCCAUUUUUCGCCAAGUGUAUAGCACUCUGAGAAUCUGAGAAUACUUUCACAUCAUCCUGUUCAAUACCCAAAUCACUAACCAUUCGUUUCAACCAUAAAGCUUCUUUGAACGCCUCUGUUAAAGCCAUGUAUUCAGAUUUUGUAGUUGACAGAGCUACUAUCUGUUGUAGUCCUGAUCUCCAACUGACUGUAUUACCACCAACCUGAAAUACAUAACCCGUUACAGAUCUUCUUCUAUCAAGAUCUGUAGCAUAAUCAGCAUCUGAAAAACCUUCGACCUUAAAACUUGAAUUCUUUGUGAAUGUAAGACUUAAACUUGAAGUUCCUUUAAGAUAUCGCAAUAUCCAUUUAACUGCUUGCCAAUGCACUCUUCCUGGACUUCCCAUAAAUCUACUAACCACACCCACAGCAUGUGCCAAAUCAGGCCUCGAACCCACCAUGGCAUACAUGAGCGAUCCUACUGCACUUGCAUAAGGUAUCUCACUCAUCAAAUGCCUCUCAGUCUUUAAUUCUUCAUCACUUAAGCUUCUGAGUUUAAACUGAGAACCCAAAUGUGUACUCACAGGUUUUGCCUCACUCAUACUGAAAGUUCUAAGUACCUGUUCGAUGUACUUUUCUUGUGAUAGCUUCAGAAUUCCUUUUUCCCUGUCUCUGAUGAAAUCCAUUCCAAGAAUCCUAGUUGCAGCUCCUAGGUCUUUCAUUUCAAAUUCUCUCAUCAAACUCUGUUUCAACUCCUUAAUUCCUGCUGAAUUCUUUGAUGCAACAAGCAUAUCAUCCACAUAUAUCAAAAGAUAUACAGAGUUGUGUAUAUCCGAACCUGAGAUAUACACACAAGGAUCAAACACACUUUUCCUGAAUCCUUGACCUUCAUAAAACCAUCGAACCUCUUAUUCCAUUGUCUUGGUGACUGUUUAACUCCAUACAUGGAUUUCUUCAGUAAACACACCAUUUCUUCCUUCCCUUUCACUUGAAAACCUUCUGGUUGUGCCAUAUAAAUUUCCUCAUCCAAUGAUCCAUGUAAAAAAGCUGUUUUUACAUCUAACUGCUCCAGAUCAUAAUCUUGAUUUACUACAAGUGAAAGCAAAAUUCGAAUAGACACAUGCUUAACUACUGGUGCGAACACUUCGGUAUAGUCGAUACCUUCCACUUGUGAGAAGCCCUGUGCUACCAGCCUAGCCUUGUAUCUUGGCUCCUCAACCCCUGGAAUUCCUGGUUUCCAUUUAAACACCCACUUGCAGCCUAUUAUUUUCUUCUUUUCUGGUUUUUCCACCAAUUCCCAUGUGUCAUUCUUGUGCAAAGAUUCUAUCUCUUCUCCGGCUGCCGAUUUCCACUUUUUCCAAUCUUUGCUUCUUCUUGCUUCGAAGUAUGAUUUGGGUUCAUCUAUUUCAAUGUCUUCAGCACAAGACAGUGCAUAUGCUACAACGUCGAAAUCAUCAUACUUUGAAGGGAACUUUGAUACUCUUUUUUCUCUGUCUCUAGCAAGAAUAUAAUUUUCAAGGUUCACUUGAUCUUCUUCACCGGCUUCACUUUCUGUGUCUGUUUCUGAACCAGAUCCUUCAUUUUCUGAACCAGAUCCUGAUAUACCCGAAACUGAACCAGCUCCACCUUGAACAGAAUUUUCUGAAUCUGCUCCACCUUGAACCGAAUUCCCUGCAUCUGAGUAUUCUGCUGAAGCACCUCUGAUUAGAUCAUUACUUAAAGAAACCCUCUUAAUCUUCUUUUGUGUUUGACCGGUUGUUUCUUUCUGAACUAAAUCAACAACUUUCG